AGCUUUGUGCAAUGGCAGUAUCAUAGUCAGUGAGGUUUAUCCAAGGCACGAUUAUUGAUAAUUGAGAGUAUGGCCCCAAUGUGUAUCCAUUUAGCUAUAAAUGGCUCUAGUUUCUCAUUUUUUAUGGCUGAG
Fukomys damarensis (Damara mole-rat) is the source of this 132-nucleotide small nuclear RNA. Its record names the gene U4. It matches the Rfam family "U4 spliceosomal RNA". Rfam says of the family: U4 small nuclear RNA (U4 snRNA) is a component of the major U2-dependent spliceosome. The structure of U4 snRNA from yeast and human has been reported. U4 snRNA presents a k-turn RNA motif in the 5p-SL related to recognition of Snu13 protein. Lineage: Eukaryota; Metazoa; Chordata; Mammalia; Rodentia; Bathyergidae. The record is from Ensembl.